AUAGCGGGGCAGUGUUUAAGAAGGUGACAGUGUGGGGGCAGGUUGUGGGGAUAACAGUGUGGAUGGGCAGACUGACACACAACAUGCCAUCACUAGUACACAUACACUGACAUACACUCAUUAAAGGACAGUCAUUGUCUCACACACUGUUUAACUAAUACACAUGUUCACUAACAGACACACACUGACACGAACACACUCUCAGAGACACAUCCACUCUCUG
Molecule: non-coding RNA, 223 nt
Organism: Pelobates cultripes (western spadefoot toad)
Lineage: Eukaryota; Metazoa; Chordata; Amphibia; Anura; Pelobatidae
Source: the annotation of a GenBank genome assembly